CAAUACCCGAUGCGUCUGAAGGUACCUCCAAAGGAAGCUCCUGCUAACUCCGUGCCAGCAGCCGCGGUAAUACGGAGGGAGCAAACGUUGUUCGGAUUUACUGGGUGUAAAGGGUGCGUAGGCGGCUACGUGUGUCAGAGGUGAAAGCUCACGGCUCAACCGUGGAACUGCCUUUGAAACUGCGUAGCUUGAGUCCGAGAGAGGAUGGUGGAAUUCCUGGUGUAACGGUGAAAUGUGCAGAUAUCAGGAAGAACACCGGUGGCGAAGGCGGCCAUCUGGCUCGGUACUGACGCUGAGGCACGAAAGCUAGGGUAUCGAACGGGAUUAGAUACCCCGGUAGUCCUAGCCGUAAACGAUGUCCACUAGGUGUCGGAGGUCCUACCCCUUCGGUGCCGGAGCUAACGCAUUAAGUGGACCACCUGGGGAGUACGCUCGCAAGGGUGAAACUCAAAGGAAUUGACGGGGGCCCGCACAAGCGGUGGAGCAUGUGGUUUAAUUCGAUGCAACGCGAAGAACCUUACCUGGGCUUGACAUGCAGGGGACAGGUGUAGAGAUACACCCUUCUUCGGACUCCUGUACAGGUGCUGCAUGGCUGUCGUCAGCUCGUGUCGUGAAAUGUUGGGUUAAGUCCCGCAACGAGCGCAACCCUUGUCCUUAGUUGCCAGCACGUCAUGGUGGGAACUCUAGGGAGACUGCCGGUGACAAACCGGAGGAAGGUGGGGACGACGUCAAGUCAUCAUGGCCCUUACGUCCAGGGCUACACACGUGCUACAAUGGCACAUACAGAGGGCAGCGAACCCGCGAGGGGAAGCCAAUCCCAAAAAGUGUGCCUCAGUUCGGAUCGCAGUCUGCAACUCGACUGCGUGAAGUCGGAAUCGC
RNAcentral lists this ribosomal RNA (879 nucleotides) under uncultured candidate division GN03 bacterium. Its description in RNAcentral is "bacterial SSU rRNA". It matches the Rfam family "Bacterial small subunit ribosomal RNA", at positions 455 to 1335 of the family's 1533-position model. The record is from RNAcentral.